Molecule: long non-coding RNA, 486 nt
Organism: Medicago truncatula (barrel medic)
Lineage: Eukaryota; Viridiplantae; Streptophyta; Magnoliopsida; Fabales; Fabaceae
Exons: 2
Source: RefSeq, a predicted model, not a curated record
UACUAUAUUUAAGGUGAGAAUGAGCUUUAUAAGUCAUAAAGUAAUAAAAUCAUAUUCUAUCUCUUACAAGAAUAUGGAAGAAAGUAUGAUUAAAAUUGUUAAGUUUGAUUAUGCUAUUAUUAUCUUUAUUUCGCUUUUAGUUGUUGCAAUGGAUGUUGAUGCUGGUCCUAUUCGUAUAUGUUCUUCCGAUGAUGAUUGUAUAGGGUAUUGGUGUCCACUUUCUAUACAACCGCGUUCUACAAAACCUAUAUGUCGUCUAGUUGAAAGUAUUUCGAAGCGAAGUCGAACCCCAGUAGGCUUGUGUACAUGUAUUUGAGGGAUGUUCCCAUAAGAUUCUACUAAUAGUGUUGCCACCCGAUAAUUUGUAUUUUUUUCAUUUUUUAUUUUUACGGACCAUAUAGUCAUAAUUUUAUACUUUAAAAUGAUUGUAAUAAAAGGAAAUUAGCAAUUAGAAAUUAACGUUUAUAUUAUCUUCUUCUUUAUUAA